GCUGGAGUGGCUCAGUCGGUAGAGCAGCUGAUUCGUAAUCAGCAGGUCGUCAGUUCAAGUCUGAUCUCCAGCUCCA
This 76-nucleotide transfer RNA is filed under the name Bacillota bacterium. Its description in RNAcentral is "Firmicutes bacterium (gut metagenome) tRNA-Thr". It matches the Rfam family "tRNA". From Rfam's summary of the family: Transfer RNA (tRNA) molecules are approximately 80 nucleotides in length. Their secondary structure includes four short double-helical elements and three loops (D, anti-codon, and T loops). Lineage: Bacteria; Bacillati; Bacillota. The record is from RNAcentral.